RNAcentral lists this ribosomal RNA (1413 nucleotides) under Arthrobacter sp. MPU L3. RNAcentral's name for it is "partial 16S ribosomal RNA". It matches the Rfam family "Bacterial small subunit ribosomal RNA". The record is from RNAcentral. Lineage: Bacteria; Bacillati; Actinomycetota; Actinomycetes; Micrococcales; Micrococcaceae.
AGAGUUUGAUCCUGGCUCAGGAUGAACGCUGGCGGCGUGCUUAACACAUGCAAGUCGAACGAUGANCCNNAGCUUGCUGGGGGGAUUAGUGGCGAACGGGUGAGUAACACGUGAGUAACCUGCCCUUGACUCUGGGAUAAGCCUGGGAAACUGGGUCUAAUACCGGAUAUGACUCCUCAUCGCAUGGUGGGGGGUGGAAAGCUUUUUGUGGUUUUGGAUGGACUCGCGGCCUAUCAGCUUGUUGGUGGGGUAAUGGCCUACCAAGGCGACGACGGGUAGCCGGCCUGAGAGGGUGACCGGCCACACUGGGACUGAGACACGGCCCAGACUCCUACGGGAGGCAGCAGUGGGGAAUAUUGCACAAUGGGCGCAAGCCUGAUGCAGCGACGCCGCGUGAGGGAUGACGGCCUUCGGGUUGUAAACCUCUUUCAGUAGGGAAGAAGCGAAAGUGACGGUACCUGCAGAAGAAGCGCCGGCUAACUACGUGCCAGCAGCCGCGGUAAUACGUAGGGCGCAAGCGUUAUCCGGAAUUAUUGGGCGUAAAGAGCUCGUAGGCGGUUUGUCGCGUCUGCCGCUGGUGUAGCGGUGAAAUGCGCAGAUAUCAGGAGGAACACCGAUGGCGAAGGCAGGUCUCUGGGCAUUAACUGACGCUGAGGAGCGAAAGCAUGGGGAGCGAACAGGAUUAGAUACCCUGGUAGUCCAUGCCGUAAACGUUGGGCACUAGGUGUGGGGGACAUUCCACGUUUUCCGCGCCGUAGCUAACGCAUUAAGUGCCCCGCCUGGGGAGUACGGCCGCAAGGCUAAAACUCAAAGGAAUUGACGGGGGCCCGCACAAGCGGCGGAGCAUGCGGAUUAAUUCGAUGCAACGCGAAGAACCUUACCAAGGCUUGACAUGAACUAGUAAGGCGCAGAGAUGCGUCCUCCACUUUGUGGCUGGUUUACAGGUGGUGCAUGGUUGUCGUCAGCUCGUGUCGUGAGAUGUUGGGUUAAGUCCCGCAACGAGCGCAACCCUCGUUCUAUGUUGCCAGCACGUGAUGGUGGGGACUCAUAGGAGACUGCCGGGGUCAACUCGGAAGAAAGGUGGGGACGACGUCAAAUCAUCAUGCCCCUUAUGUCUUGGGCUUCACGCAUGCUACAAUGGCCGGUACAAAGGGUUGCGAUACUGUGAGGUGGAGCUAAUCCCAAAAAGCCGGUCUCAGUUCGGAUUGGGGUCUGCAACUCGACCCCAUGAAGUCGGAGUCGCUAGUAAUCGCAGAUCAGCAACGCUGCGGUGAAUACGUUCCCGGGCCUUGUACACACCGCCCGUCAAGUCACGAAAGUUGGUAACACCCGAAGCCGGUGGCCUAACCCCUUGUGGGAGGGAGCUGUCGAAGGUGGGACUGGCGAUUGGGACUAAGUCGUAACAAGGUAACC